RNAcentral lists this ribosomal RNA (254 nucleotides) under Thermoanaerobacterales bacterium. RNAcentral's name for it is "partial 23S ribosomal RNA". It matches the Rfam family "Bacterial large subunit ribosomal RNA", at positions 2674 to 2925 of the family's 2925-position model. Lineage: Bacteria; Bacillati; Bacillota; Clostridia; Thermoanaerobacterales. The record is from RNAcentral.
GCCCCUAGUACGAGAGGACCGGGGUGGACGGACCGAUGGUGUAUCAGUUGUCGUGCCAACGGCACAGCUGAGUAGCCAAGUCCGGCAGGGAUAAGCGCUGAAAGCAUCUAAGUGCGAAGCCCACCUUAAGAUUAGGUAUCCCAUCCCUAAAAGGGAGUAAGACUCCGGGAAGACUACCCGGUAGAUAGGUCAGAGGUGUAAGAGCUGUAAAGCUUUGAGCCGACUGAUACUAAUAAGUCGAGGGCUUGACCUAU